Molecule: ribosomal RNA, 734 nt
Filed under: Salmonella enterica subsp. enterica
Lineage: Bacteria; Pseudomonadati; Pseudomonadota; Gammaproteobacteria; Enterobacterales; Enterobacteriaceae
Also listed under: 1 other name
Description: partial 23S ribosomal RNA
Rfam family: Bacterial large subunit ribosomal RNA
Source: RNAcentral
ACGAUUGACGGAGCGAAGCGACGUCAAAGCGUUCAUUAAAGUCGAGUUGGCUUAGGGAUACGUUCGUUGGGUAGGGGAGCGUUCUGUAAGCCUGUGAAGGUGUGUCGUGAGGCAUGCUGGAGGUAUCAGAAGUGCGAAUGCUGACAUAAGUAACGAUAAAGCGGGUGAAAAGCCCGCUCGCCGGAAGACCAAGGGUUCCUGUCCAACGUUAAUCGGGGCAGGGUGAGUCGACCCCUAAGGCGAGGCCGAAAGGCGUAGUCGAUGGGAAACGGGUUAAUAUUCCCGUACUUGGUGUUACUGCGAAGGGGGGACGGAGAAGGCUAUGUUGGCCGGGCGACGGUUGUCCCGGUUUAAGCGUGUAGGUGUGUGUUCCAGGUAAAUCCGGUUCACUUUAACACUGAGGCGUGACGACGAGGCACUACGGUGCUGAAGCAACAAAUGCCCUGCUUCCAGGAAAAGCCUCUAAGCAUCAGGUAACACGAAAUCGUACCCCAAACCGACACAGGUGGUCAGGUAGAGAAUACCAAGGCGCUUGAGAGAACUCGGGUGAAGGAACUAGGCAAAAUGGUGCCGUAACUUCGGGAGAAGGCACGCUGACACGUAGGUGAAGUGAUUUACUCAUGGAGCUGAAGUCAGUCGAAGAUACCAGCUGGCUGCAACUGUUUAUUAAAAACACAGCACUGUGCAAACACGAAAGUGGACGUAUACGGUGUGACGCCUGCCCGGUGCCGGAA